Molecule: long non-coding RNA, 3078 nt
Organism: Rhododendron vialii
Lineage: Eukaryota; Viridiplantae; Streptophyta; Magnoliopsida; Ericales; Ericaceae
Exons: 7
Source: RefSeq, a predicted model, not a curated record
UUAAUAGGGUUUUUCUCUACAACCCCAUCAUGAUUUCAUCAUCAGAUAAUAAUGGCGAUGGAGACGAAGAAGACGACGACGAAAGCGUAAACACAUAUCAUUGUGUUUUCGUUUAUUGCUUCAGUGAUUUACCAAAGGUUUACCCGCACUUGGGCAACAUUAUUUACAUCUCCUGAACCCUGGAUCUGGUUGUCUCAGGCUUCUUUCUUCGUGUGCCGAGUAUUUGUCAAGUCAUGCUAUCAAAUAACGGUUCAGGGCAUGUUCAAAGUUCUCGCGCUGAAGACAAUGAUGCUUAAAAAUGUCUGGAACUGGGACAUUGCAUUGACUAAGUUAUUGUGCAUGAUGACGACUCUGUUGGCAGGAGGAAUGGGAGAAUGAGGUUUUCAGAUUUUCUAUGGGUCAGGAGGAAUGGGAGAAUGAGGUUUUCCGAUUUUCUAUGGGUCAGGAGGAAUGGGAGAAUGAGGUAUUUCAUCGCAAACACUUCCCAUUUUAUUUCAAGCACGGUUGUACUUGGUGUCGUGAUUUAUCUAUGUGGGGCUUGAAGAUGCAUAACCAGAUGCCAUUUAUUGAUCUUUGAUGACUGUUUGAUUGUCAUUCUGACUCUUGAUGGUUCUGAACGCAGGCUUCUAGUGAAAUGCCUUCUUACUUCAAAAUUGUAACUGUCCUUGAGGGGUUUAGAAACGACAUGAUAGCUAACUUCUGCCCACUGUUCCAACUGAGAUUCGACUCUAAGGAACUUGGCAAAAAAAUUGUUUUAUAGGGACAAGAUGGAGGGUGGGACAGAGGGAAAGAUAGCUGAUUUGUUGCUCAUUUAGAAGAUUGUGAUAUCAUUUCCUUAUAUUUGACGCCCUCCUUUGUCAUAAAAGAGGAAGCACGUGUAUAAAGUUCUAUAAAUACAAACCAUAAAUGAUUAUUAAACUAACCAUAAAUUUAACACUCUUUUUCUUUUUAUAGAAAGAAGUAACCACUCUAUUGCAUUCGUUUUAGUUGCGUCCCCAAUUGUCAGUUUUGAUAACAUACAAAACCAGCUUUGAGAAUUCAAAGAGAUUGACAAAUGCAGAAUAAUGUUAAACCUUGUCAUAAAAUACUCUCUCACAUCAUAUACAUGUAUAGAUCUCGGUACCUGAGAUACACAAGAAGUAAUGAAACAACAGCCCGGUCCGUCAUGGAUCUCUACAAAUAUAUAGACAAGAUGUCUAGUUUAUUGGCUUCUGAACUUAUUAAUGACUUAAGAGUUUGGAGGAUCAGAACACGCACUUUUGCUGAAAACCUUACAACAAAUAUGCACACAACAAGCACAAGCUGAAUUUUAUUAAUUUUAGUGGAUUUUGACUUCAAAGUAGAAUAAAGAGAGACUUCUAAAGCCUAUGAGGUCAGGUGGACAUCAAGUAAACAGAAGAUCUAGACACAUAAAUCAUGGGUUGUAAAGGCAAUAGGAGAACAUACCAGGUUUUUGAGUGGAUCAAACCAAAUAAGGAAUUCAUUAACGGGCUCCCCAACCUUCAAUGGAGUGGAGAGGUAUUGCGUCUCUUGACCUGGACCAAGUCCUUGAACAUGCUCUGCCAAGGUGUGAGGCAGAUGCUUCUAGGAUCAAACAGCGCCCUUUUGACCAAUGACAAAAAGGUAGAUGAAUCCACAAGGAGUGAUGGGAAUUUGGAAUCCACAUAUCUAGUAGCUUCUAAUUAAGGUAUUUUCACCCCAUUUACUAACAUUAACUGGUACAAUCACCGAUCUUCAGGUAAUAAUAUGUUUCCAAGUAUUGCCAAGUUUUGGGUGUUACGGAUUUUAUAUUGCAAUAAAGUUUCAUGGUUCCUUAUGAUGAUAAGAAAUUUUAAGGGUUUGCAAUUGCGUUUUUCUAUUAGUCAUGCUAUCAUGUUGUAUGGUGCUAAGUUGCCCCAUAUUCUCACUUUUCCAUUAUCAUAUUGAUUGAUUUUAAUUAGCUGACCCCAUAUCGUAUCUCUGAAGUAAUCGCCGCACUUGGCUCUUAUUUUAAUCACCUCUCUUUUCUCUGAAGUUAUAGGUUGCACUUGGCUUUUAUUUUAAUCACCUCUCUUUUAUCGUUUUGUUACUGAUUGGGUAAUGAUUGCAGAAGAAAGGACCUCUAGGGUUUCUCCCAAUGGUCGCAACAAGCGGAGGAGAGUUCCAUCAAAUCAGACUGUGUCCAUAGUGAUCUUUACAUUAACCUGGAGGUUUCUAGCGGUUCUAUGAAGAAAGGACCUCUACGGUUGCUCCCAAUGGUUGCAGCAAGCAGAGGAGAGUUUCAACAAAUCAGACUGUGUCCAUAGUGAUCUUUACAGUAACCUGGAGGUUUCUAACGGUUCUAUGAAGAAAGGACCUCUAUGGUUGCUCCCAAUGGUCGCAGCAAGCGGAGGAGAGUUUCAACAAAUCAGAUUGUGUCCAUAGUGAUCUUUACAUUAACCUGGAGGUUUCUAGCGGUUCUAUGGCUUCUUUCACGGUGCGCUGAUUAUUUGUUUUCAAAUUCGAAUGUAGUUUCAGAGUAUGUUCUAAGUUCAUGCUGUAAAGAAAUCAUUGCUGCUGUAUGUAAUUACUGGCAUUGGUGGAGCUAUUGUGAAGUGAUGGUGUCCAGCUUACCUUAAGUAUGCAGCCUAGUGUGCCCGGUUUUUAUCUCAGACACUUGCGAGAGUAACUAGACCGCAGCGAUUGCUCUCAAGGAGAUUGCUAAAUGUCAAGACCCAACAUUGUACUGCAGGUGGAUAUCAAGAAUGCUGAAGACAGAGACAGAAAACAUGGGUCCUAAUGGCAAUGUGAUGUAUACCAUGUUUUUGGGUGGGCCAGACCCGGCUAGCAGUUCAUCACUCAAGAAUAAUGUCAGAUUGACAUCUCUUGGGGCUACUAGUUAAGGCACUUCCGUCCCAUUAAUACGUUUCUAAAUCUUUGAAAUUACUGUUCCGUAUGGUAUUGCUAUGGGAUUUGUAAAUUUUGUUUGGUAAUUCCACUCAUCAACUAGGAGCAGUCUUGCUGGUUUAAUUCCACUUGUGUAGUCGCACUGUUAACUUGAAUCGAACUACUGUUUGUGCAGUAACUUACAUGUAAUAAGAGUUUCAAAGUGUAAGUUCA